UGCUCAGAUACCUGACGGAGAACGCCGGAGACAUGGAGCCUCUUUACCGGUGCCGGUGUCUGGCACUGACGGGCAGGGUGGAGGAUGGCGGAGCGGCGGUCCGUCUGAUCAGCUGCUGCUCAGGGGCCAUGAUGGCCGGUUCCAUACUCCCAGAACUGGUUUACUGGACUCUGAACUUGGACUAAAAGGAUUUUCAAUAGGACACUGAUAUCAGCAGAGCAGUCUAUUGUUUGCACUGUAUCAAAUAAAACCCAAAUCACUCACGCGAGGAGCUCAGAGGAUGUUACACCAAAGGACUGGAUGAAUGAAGGCAAACACCUGACAUAUGAUCAGAGCUAGGAGAGGCACCACGAAAUGACGUUUGGUUCUUUUGUGCAAAAAAAAAUCCACAAGGGAAACAUUCAGUUCCCAGGACUUUGUGGGACUUCAAAGCAUCACUGGUUGCAUGCACACAAACCCACUUAAAAGAAUCAUGAACCCAAAAGAGGCAGAAAUGAAUUCAAUGACAGUGUCACAUUUCAGUUUUGUGUAGAUGAGGAACAGUAUGUAUAUAUAAU
Myxocyprinus asiaticus (Chinese sucker) is the source of this 557-nucleotide long non-coding RNA. RefSeq lists it as uncharacterized. The transcript is spliced from 3 exons. The record is from RefSeq and is a predicted model, not a curated record. Lineage: Eukaryota; Metazoa; Chordata; Actinopteri; Cypriniformes; Catostomidae.